ACUCAAAUGAAUAGACGGGGACCCGCACAAGCGGUGGAGCAUGUGGUUUAAUUCGAUGCAACGCGAAGAACCUUACCUGGUCUUGACAUGUUGGGAAUCCCGAAGAGAUUUGGGAGUGCCGCAAGGAGCCCAAACACAGGUGCUGCAUGGCUGUCGUCAGCUCGUGUCGUGAGAUGUUGGGUUAAGUCCCGCAACGAGCGCAACCCUUGUCCUUAGUUGCCAGCAUUAAGUUGGGCACUCUAAGGAGACCGCCGGUGACAAACCGGAGGAAGGUGGGGAUGACGUCAAGUCAUCAUGGCCUUUAUGACCAGGGCUACACACGUGCUACAAUGGUAGAUACAGAGGGAAGCCAACUCGCGAGAGGGAGCCAAUCCCAGAAAAUCUAUCGUAGUCCGGAUCGGAGUCUGCAACUCGACUCCGUGAAGUCGGAAUCGCUAGUAAUCGCAGAUCAGCAUUGCUGCGGUGAAUACGUUCCCGGGUCUUGCACACACCGCCCGU
RNAcentral lists this ribosomal RNA (498 nucleotides) under uncultured bacterium. RNAcentral's name for it is "partial 16S ribosomal RNA". It matches the Rfam family "Bacterial small subunit ribosomal RNA", at positions 899 to 1397 of the family's 1533-position model. The record is from RNAcentral.